CCUACGGGGGGCAGCAGUGAGGAAUAUUGGUCAAUGGGCGAGAGCCUGAACCAGCCAAGUCGCGUGAGGGAGUACUGCCCUAUGGGUUGUAAACUUCUUUUAUAUGGGAAUAAAAUGUUCCACGUGUGGGAUUUUGUAUGUACCAUAUGAAUAAGGAUCGGCUAACUCCGUGCCAGCAGCCGCGGUAAUACGGAGGAUCCGAGCGUUAUCCGGAGUUAUUGGGUUUAAAGGGAGCGUAGGUGGAUUGUUAAGUCAGUUGUGAAAGUUUGCGGCUCAACCGUAAAAUUGCAGUUGAAACUGGCAGUCUUGAGUACAGUAGAGGUGGGCGGAAUUCGGGGUGUAGCGGUGAAAUGCUUAGAUAUCACGAAGAACUCCGAUUGCGAAGGCAGCUCACUGGACUGCAACUGACACUGAGGCUCGAAAGUGUGGGUAUCAAACAGGAUUAGAUACCCCAGUAGUC
This 460-nucleotide ribosomal RNA is filed under the name uncultured bacterium. Its description in RNAcentral is "partial 16S ribosomal RNA". It matches the Rfam family "Bacterial small subunit ribosomal RNA", at positions 338 to 795 of the family's 1533-position model. The record is from RNAcentral.